Trichonephila clavata is the source of this 72-nucleotide non-coding RNA. The record is from the annotation of a GenBank genome assembly. Lineage: Eukaryota; Metazoa; Arthropoda; Arachnida; Araneae; Nephilidae.
GUCCCUGUAGGCAAUGGAUAACGCGUUGGAAUUCUAAUCCAAAGGUCGUAGGUUCGAAUCCCACCUGGGAUG